UACGUAGGGGGCAAGCGUUGUCCGGAUUUACUGGGCGGAAAGAGCGUGUAGGCGGCUCGAUAAGUCUGCUGUGAAAGUCCAGGGCUCAACCCUGGAAGGCCGGUGGAAACUGUCGGGCUAGAGUCCGGAAGAGGCGAGUGGAAUUCCCGGUGUAGCGGUGAAAUGCGCAGAUAUCGGGAGGAACACCAAUGGCGAAGGCAGCUCGCUGGGACGGUACUGACGCUGAGACGCGAAAGCGUGGGGAGCAAACAGG
This 253-nucleotide ribosomal RNA is filed under the name uncultured bacterium. RNAcentral's name for it is "partial 16S ribosomal RNA". It matches the Rfam family "Bacterial small subunit ribosomal RNA", at positions 524 to 776 of the family's 1533-position model. The record is from RNAcentral.